GACGAACGCUGGCGGCGUGCUUAACACAUGCAAGUCGAACGGAAAGGCCCUGCUUUUGUGGGGUUCUCGAGUGGCGAACGUGUGUGUAACCCGUGAGUAACCUUCCCUUUACUUUGGGAUAACUUCAGGAAACUGGUGCUAAUACCGGAUAGGAGCUCCUGCUGCAUGGUGGGGUUUGGACAUUUUCGGCGGUUGGGGAUGUACUCGCGGUUUAUUAGCUUGUUGGUGGGGUAGUUGCUUACCAAGGCUUUGAAGGGUAGCCGGCCUGAGAGGUGGAACAGCGACAAUGGUACUAAGGUACGGCGCAGAGUGCAAUGGGAGGCAGCAGGGGAGAGUAUUGCACAGUGGGCGGGAGCCUGAGGAGGCAACGUCGGGAGCGGGAUGAAGGUUAUGGGGGUGUAAACCGCAGUAGCCUGUGACGAAGCGGGAGUGACGGUAAUAGGAAAAGAAGCACCGGCUAACUACGUG
Molecule: ribosomal RNA, 468 nt
Filed under: uncultured bacterium
Lineage: Bacteria
Description: partial 16S ribosomal RNA
Rfam family: Bacterial small subunit ribosomal RNA
Source: RNAcentral